This 546-nucleotide ribosomal RNA is filed under the name uncultured bacterium. RNAcentral describes it as "bacterial SSU rRNA". It matches the Rfam family "Bacterial small subunit ribosomal RNA", at positions 746 to 1295 of the family's 1533-position model. The record is from RNAcentral.
CUGAGGAGCGAAAGCGUGGGGAGCGAACAGGAUUAGAUACCCUGGUAGUCCACGCCGUAAACGGUGGGUGCUAGGUGUAGGGGGUAUUCCACGCCCUCUGUGCCGCAGCUAACGCAUUAAGCACCCCGCCUGGGGAGUACGGCCGCAAGGCUAAAACUCAAAGGAAUUGACGGGGGCCCGCACAAGCGGCGGAGCAUGUGGCUUAAUUCGACGCAACGCGAAGAACCUUACCAAGGCUUGACAUGCAGGGAAAUCUCCCAGAGAUGGGAGGUCCGCAAGGGUCCUGCACAGGUGGUGCAUGGUUGUCGUCAGCUCGUGUCGUGAGAUGUUGGGUUAAGUCCCGCAACGAGCGCAACCCUUGAUCUUAGUUGCCAGCAUUUAGUUGGGCACUCUAAGGUGACUGCCGGUGACAAACCGGAGGAAGGUGGGGAUGACGUCAAAUCAUCAUGCCCCUUAUGACCUGGGCUACACACGUGCUACAAUGGAUGGUACAAAGGGCAGCAAAGCCGUAAGGUGGAGCCAAUCCCAUAAACCAUUCUCAGUUCG